GAUCUGCUGGUGGGGGCGGGGAAGGGACGUCUCUGUUGAGCCGGGAUUUGGGCCCCUGUCCCCGACGGACCCAUCAAGUGCGAGAUGACUGUGCGCAGGAACUUGAAGCUAAGCCGCAGAGAUAGAUAUUAAAUAAAGGACCCCAAAUCAACAGGCUGGAUCCCAUUGUAAUAAUCAACCUUGAUAGUCUGUAAUUGAUGAUUUGACAUCUUGAAGUCACGCCAAAACUGUUGACGUCCCUACCACCCCUGUGGUUUUACAGCACACAGAAAUCAUAUUACUAUCCUUCCAACUAAUAAAUAAAGAAGUGGUGGGGAGUUGUCUGGUGGGGAUGUCCCCUCCUUAGCAGGAAGCAAAUACAGAUGUUGGAGUUUGUGUUGGAAGAGCCUCCUGAUGUUCUGGGUUUGUCCAGUUGGCUGAAGAAAUUGCCCACACCUUUGACCUAGAAAAACAAAGAGUCUAGACCAGCACUGUCCAAUAUGGAUGUCACCAGCCACAUGAGGUGAUUGAGCACUUGGAAUGUGGCUAGUCAUGUACAAUAUUGUAAAAUACACACCGGAUAUUGAAGACAAUAUGAAGAAAAGAAUGUAAAAUAUCUCACUAAUUUUUUUUAAAAUAUAUGUCAAACGAUGAUGAUAGUUUUGAUAUACUGGGUUAAAGGAAGUAUAUUUUACCAUUAAAAAUAAAUUAUAAAUUUUUACCGUUAAAAAU
Molecule: long non-coding RNA, 711 nt
Organism: Aethalodelphis obliquidens (Pacific white-sided dolphin)
Lineage: Eukaryota; Metazoa; Chordata; Mammalia; Artiodactyla; Delphinidae
Exons: 4
Source: RefSeq, a predicted model, not a curated record